AACGAACGCUGGCGGCAUGCCUAACACAUGCAAGUCGAACGAAACCUCCGGGUCUUGUGGCGCACGGGUGCGUCACGCGUGGGAACCUGCCCUUAGGUUCGGAAUAACUCCCCGAAAGGGGUGCUAAUACCGGAUAAUGUCUUCGGACCAAAGAUUUAUCGCCUUUGGUUGGGCCCGCGUUGGAUUAGCUUGUUGGUAGGGUAAAAGCCUACCAAGGCGACGAUCCAUAGCUGGUCUGAGAGGAUGAUCAGCCACACUGGGACUGAGACACGGCCCAGACUCCUACGGGAGGGAGCAGUGGGUAAUAUUGGACGAUGGGCGAAAGCCUGAUCCAGCAAUGCCGGGUGAGUGAUGAAGGCAUUAGGGUUCUAAAGCUCUUUUACCCGGGAUGAUAAUGACGGUACCGGGAGAAUAAGCUCCGGCUAACUCCGUG
This 433-nucleotide ribosomal RNA is filed under the name uncultured bacterium. Its description in RNAcentral is "partial 16S ribosomal RNA". It matches the Rfam family "Bacterial small subunit ribosomal RNA", at positions 29 to 507 of the family's 1533-position model. The record is from RNAcentral.